RNAcentral lists this ribosomal RNA (465 nucleotides) under uncultured bacterium. RNAcentral's name for it is "partial 16S ribosomal RNA". It matches the Rfam family "Bacterial small subunit ribosomal RNA", at positions 338 to 795 of the family's 1533-position model. The record is from RNAcentral.
CCUACGGGUGGCAGCAGUAGGGAAUCUUCCACAAUGGGCGAAAGCCUGAUGGAGCAACACCGCGUGAGUGAAGAAGGGUUUCGGAUCGUAAAACUCUGUUGUUGGAGAAGAACGUGCGUGAGAGUAACUGUGCACGCAGUGACGGUAUCCAACCAGAAAGUCACGGCUAACUACGUGCCAGCAGCCGCGGUAAUACGUAGGUGGCAAGCGUUAUCCGGAAUUAUUGGGCGUAAAGCGAGUGUAGGCGGUUUGUUAAGUCUGAUGUGAAAGCCCUCGGCUCAACCGUAGAAGGGCAUUGGAAACCGUGAGACUUGAGUGCAGAAGAGGACAGUGGAACUCCAUGUGUAGCGGUGGAAUGCGUAGAUAUAUGGAAGAACACCAGUGGCGAAGGCGGCUGUCUGGUCUGCAACUGACGCUGAGGCUCGAAAGCAUGGGUAGCGAACAGGAUUAGAUACCCUAGUAGUC